Molecule: RNA transcript, 2606 nt
Organism: Canis lupus familiaris (dog)
Lineage: Eukaryota; Metazoa; Chordata; Mammalia; Carnivora; Canidae
Gene: LIN52
Gene name: lin-52 DREAM MuvB core complex component
Exons: 7
Source: RefSeq, a predicted model, not a curated record
ACAGGCUCCAUGCACCGGGAGCCCGACGUGGGAUUCGAUCCCGGGUCUCCAGGAUCGCGCCCUGGGCCAAAGGCAGGCGCCAAACCGCUGCGCCACCCAGGGAUCCCUGAGUUUGUCUUUCUUGAGAGCAAGGACACUUGGGGGAAAUUCUAAGAGUAUGAGUGAAGAUGCAGGGACAGAUCUGGAAGCAUCUUUGCUAAGUUUUGAAAAACUUGACCGUGCCUCACCAGACCUUUGGCCUGAACAAUUACCAGGUGUCGCUGAAUUUGCAGCUUCCUUUAAAAGUCCUAUUACUAGCUCUCCACCCAAAUGGAUGGCUGAAAUAGAACGUGAUGACAUUGACAUGUUGAAAGAACUGGGGAGCCUCACCACAGCUAAUCUGAUGGAGAAGGUACGAGGCCUACAGAACUUGGCCUAUCAGCUGGGGCUGGAUGAGUGUUUUUCUGCCUGUAGUCAUCAAAUGCCAGCUGAGAAACAUUGAUAAGCAUAGCCUCAACAGCCAUCAUUAUAUGAGUACCUACUAAUAGGUACUGUGCUAAGUGCUUUAAAUGCAUAGUUUCCAAAGCCUCACAACUACACUGACUAGAGAGAUGACACGGGGGAAGUUUCUCAACAUUCUGGAGAAACCCAAGAAGUAGCAGCUGCUUGUGGACAGGAUGUCCUGGAGACUGGAACCAUGCUCCCCUCCCAGUGCAGCUCUGACGUCGUGCAACUCUCUGCUUCCUGGUGAGAGGCCGGAGGAUGCACCUCCAGGACUGACCCUCUCCCCUGCUCAUGGCACUCUGCACGUCUGCAGACACUCGGUGGCAAGAGAGGAAUCUGCUCCAUAGAUUCUCUACAGAAGGAUCAGUGUAGUUAUUCAGUCAGCUUUCAGACUUUGACCAUCUCAGCCUUGGAUGUGGGUAACAGCUGAGGGCACAUCUUUCUUAAAGGUCAAAGUCCUGCUCUCUCGUUUCAGAAGGGAUUCAGGAGUCCCAGGAUCUUAGGGUUGAUUUGAUUCAGUGAAGGCAAAGUCAGUUGUGACACGUUGAUUGGAUGGGUUCUUUUGACUUGUACUUGAUAUCAUAGGAAGUGUUUAUGGUGCGAGGAGACCAGAAACCAAUUAGAUUCUGAAACAGACCAGGCAGCCUGACCUGUGAACUCUCCAAUAUAUAUAUAUUGGGUUCCAAGAAUCCCCAGCUGGAGAAGCUAGAAUCUUCUUGAAAUGUACACCUCCUUUAAAAAUUCUGUACCUCUCACAAUAGUCCCAUUCCCCAGUGCCUUUUGUUCCCCACCAUCAGUUUUAAUUUCAGGAUAGGGGAUCCCUAUGUAGCAGGUCCCUCCUGGGAUAAGCUAAUGAGAGGCCCUUGCAAGGUUGCAUUGGGUUCUAGACCUCAAGACCAAGUUAAAGAUGAAAGGACUUUUGAGUUCCAGCUAAUCUGUUACAGACUCACACAAGAAAGUCAGUAUGGCCUUAAAGGUAGGAGAAAGGGAUUGUUUGCAGGAGUUCCCAUUUGAUUAAAAAACUGGAAACUCUAAUUGACCUGAAAAGAAUGUGCUGUAUUUUACCCCGCCCCCCCGCCCAUGUCCCCUCUCAUAGCACACAGCAGAUAAUUCACCAAUGUCACAGAAGUACACACACACAUGAAAGGAAAGAAUUUUCUGACUUAAAUACAGUUCUUAUGGAGCUCUUUGCCAGUUAUCUGUGUUAAAACCUGAAAACCUAACCCAUGCAUAAAAUUGAUUAUACAUGUUCUCCGUAUUUUGUCUCAUAAGCCAGCCCCCAGCCUCUGAUGUUUUGAGAAAUACAUGAGGCUUCCUAGCCUUCAUGCAACGAACCUCCAUGUGGCAGCUGUCUGACUGUGUUUAGACACAAGGAAAGUUGUCCUGAGUGUCUGUGCUAGGGUGCAGCAUUAUUCAGUCUAAUAGCUGGUCUAUUAACCAUUUCUGACAUUUGUGCCUUGUUUCCCAUGCUAGAAUUAACAUUGGGUUUUUCUCAUUUUUGCUAUCCAUGCGAUUCUAUGUAUUGAUAAGGGGAAAAGUUGAAAGUGAGUCACGAAGAAUGGGUAUGAGAAAGAAACCAUUCUACCUGGAUGUGUUAUAGAAAUUUAGGCUGGAGAGGCAUAGAUUUUAAGUUAAGCUUAUUAUUGACAUUCCUUUUUCUCUAAAUACGGUUGAAGUGGGAGAGAGAGAGAGUAGGAAGGGAGGAAAGGGCAAUAAAUAGUGCCAUAACGUCGGAUUCUUCCUUUUGCUCUGUUUUUGAGAGUUGAUGACUUCAGGCACUUUUAGGUGUGUGGGGAAAUUGAGAAAUACAUGGAGAAUAUGAGGAUACCUCCCCAAAACCAACUCAGGUGUGUAACCCAAGGCUAUGUAGUUGGUUUUCUGGUCUGCUUUGGCCUUUCUUUUAUUGUCAUCUUACUCACCAGCACUUAAUAUAAGUAGAUGUUUUAGAAUUGUGAUAUUUAUUGGUUUUGUAUUUGUCAUCCUUAGAAAUGUUAAUGAUGUAUUUUUAUAUUGAUAAUAUAAAUGGAUGUAUAAUGUGUGUGUGGACUUCAGGGUAUUAGAGUACUGUGCUUUGUAUAUGAUGGUUUCUGUGUUGUCAUAAUAAAUAUGUCCCUUUUAUAGAA